GAAUCUUAUGGGCAUGUGUUGUCCUUCACAAAUCCCCCUGUUCAUCCCCCUGAUUGUCCUUCUGUGGAUUCCCUUAAUCCCAUUGUCGUCACUCCACAGCGAUCGCCCACCUAAGAUUGGCUGAGACUGCCAAGAAAGGCAGCGGCGUGUCCAGCAUGUAAGAGAACGGCCGCAAACUUUUAUGUUCUAAACCACUGCACUUAAUGCGGAAUUGACGGCUCCCGUGUCAACUGCAGUGCAGCUCAAGUGCUGGAGCGUUCCGGUUUUGCUCACACCUGAUUGAGGCAGAAAGAGAGGAAAAAAACUGCACUGAUUUUACUCAUAUACGAGUGAUACAAUUUAUGUGAAUGUGAUAUGUUGUAUCUAGAUUGUUCAAAGUUAGAUUCUGUUCAAUCUGAUGGAACCUAAUUAGUAUCUCAAAAUUAUUUUUUAUUGUUAUAACAGUUCUUUAUAGAAGUAAUUGGAUGUCCCAAGGACUCAAGUUACAUGUCUUAUAGAAUUUAGAGCAUGAAUCAUUUGAGAAUCCAAUAUAGUUCAAAGAAUGGGAAAGUAGGAUGACAAAUGGAAAAUUUGCUGAUUGAAAAGCUGUUAUUCAAUGUUAUGCUGAAAACUAUGCCAUAGAUUCUAUACUUUAUACAAGAUUUGUGUUGCUUCAGUAACAAAAUUGUGUACUGCAUUAUGACUACGAGUGUACAUCUCUUAAGUACACUUUUUUUAAUUUUAAACACUAAUUAUCUCUCGGGUAGGAGUUCUAUCAAUUUGCUCCAUAGAUACAUCAGUAAAUUCUGACAGAAUCGUCCUGAAUUCAUCCCCUGAAAAUGUUUCAUUCUCCAUAAGCACAUCCUCAAGCUUAUCAAUGGCCUCCCUAUUAUUCCUAAUGUGAUUCUUUGUGAUCUCAUAAGCACUUUCAAUUAUAUUUCUCACUAUUUAUAGAGGUCAAUUUCUUAGAAAAAGUUACUACAUUUUGUAAUUAUAUCUUAUUAUUAAGAUCUUACUUCAUUACACACAAUUUUGGAUAUGAUUGUAUCAAAAGACUAGUGGUUCGCGUUUUAGAAUACAAUUAACCAACAUAUUAACUAAUCAAUGCUGAUAUAUUGGAUAGAAGUUGUAUGUAAAUUUUUCAUUUUGUCUGCUUCGAUCACCGUAUAUUCUAAUAAUUACAUAGUUCCCUUUUGACCUGUCUCGCUCUCUUUUCUGUCUAUAACUCAUUCCAUUCCCUAGAUCAGGGAUUAGCACACCCUUACUUCCGGAGGUAAGGCUUCCGUGCUCCGGAGGGAACCCCUUACCUUGUCCCACUUGUUCCACUCACUCUCAAAGGCGACUGUUGGUGAACUUCUUAAGCAAGCCCUCGGCAUCAAGGCAAGGCUUAAUAAUAAUAAUAAUAAUAAUAAUAACUAGGAAAGCUUGUCGUUUAAUGUAUGCAAAAUCCUAAAAAAUCUAAUGGUGCGUUUAUUUCAUGAAAUGAGGAAUGUGAAUGAAGGAAUAUGAAUGAAAUCCAUGUUUACUAGGCAAAAUGUAAUUUGGGAAUGAGAAUAAAAUAUGUGGGUCCCACACAAUUUGAGAAUAAGGAAUGAGAAUCUCAUUCGCAUGGGAGGGUUGGGAAUGAAAAUGAAAGAAUGAAAAUGGAAUAUAUGUUUACUUUUGUAUCCCUAUAAUUUUUUCAUAUUUCCCAAAUUACCCUCAUUCAAAUCACAAUUAAUUUUAUUAUUUUAAAUGUCAUUAAUAAUAAUAAUAAUUAUUAUCAUUAUUAAAUUUUAUUAACUUUAUUAUUUUAGUUAUUAUUAAUUAUUGUUAUUAUUAUUUUUAUUAAUAAUAAUAAUAACAACAAAAAUAAUGAUAAUAUUGUUAAUAAUGAUAAAUUAAUUAUUUUUAUUAAUUAUUAUUUUUAUAUUUAUUUUUUAAUAAUGAUAAUAUUAAUAAUAAUAAUAAUUAAUAAUAACUAAAAUAAUAAAGUUAAUAAAAUUUAAUAAUGAUAAUAAUUAUUAUUAUUAUUAAUGACAUUUAAAAUAAUAAAAUUAAUUGUGAUUUGAAUGAGGGUAAUUUGGGAAAUAUGAAAAAAUUAUAGGGAUACAAAAGUAAACAUAUAUUCCAUUUUCAUUCUUUCAUUUUCAUUCCCAACCCUCCCAUGCGAAUGAGAUUCUCAUUCCUUAUUCUCAAAUUGUGUGGGACCCACAUAUUUUAUUCUCAUUCCCAAAUUACAUUUUGCCUAGUAAACAUGGAUUUCAUUCAUAUUCCUUCAUUCACAUUCCUCAUUUCAUGAAAUAAACGCACCAUUAGAUUUUUUAGGAUUUUGCAUACAUUAAACGACAAGCUUUCCUAGUUAUUAUUAUUAUUAUUAUUAUUAUUAAGCCUUGCCUUGAUGCCGAGGGCUUGCUUAAGAAGUUCACCAACAGUCGCCUUUGAGAGUGAGUGGAACAAGUGGGACAAGGUAAGGGGUUCCCUCCGGAGCACGGAAGCCUUACCUCCGGAAGUAAGGGUGUGCUAAUCCCUGAUCUAGGGAAUGGAAUGAGUUAUAGACAGAAAAGAGGGCGAGACUGGUCAAAAGGGAACUAUGUAAUUAUUAGAAUACACGGUGAUCGGAGUAGACAAAAUGAAAAAUUUACAUAUAACUUCUAUCCAAUAUAUUAAUAUUGAUUAGUUAAUAUGUUGGUUAAUUGUAUUCUAAAACGCGAACCACUAGUGUUUUGAUACAAUCAUAUCCAAAAUUGUGCGUAAUGAAGUAAGAUCUUAAUAAUAAGAUAUAAUUACAAAAUGUAGUAACUUUUUCCAAGAAAUUGACCUCUAUAAAUAGUGAGAAAUAUAAUUGAAAGUGCUUAUGUGAUUGAGGUAGAAAGAGAGGAAAUAAACUGCACUGAUUUUACUCAUAUACGAGUGAUACAAUUUAUGUGAAUGUGAUAUGUUGUAUCUAGAUUGUUCAAAGUUAGAUUCUGUUCAAUCUGAUGGAACCUAAUUAGUAUCUCAAAAUUAUUUUUUAUUGUUAUAACAGUUCUUUAUAGAAGUAAUUGGAUGUCCCAAGGACUCAAGUUACAUGUCUUAUAGAAUUUAGAGCAUGAAUCAUUUGAGAAUCCAAUAUAGUUCAAAGAAUGGGAAAGUAGGAUGACAAAUGGAAAAUUUGCUGAUUGAAAAGCUGUUAUUCAAUGUUAUGCUGAAAACUAUGCCAUAGAUUCUAUACUUUAUACAAGAUUUGUG
This 3189-nucleotide long non-coding RNA is filed under the name Citrus sinensis (sweet orange). RNAcentral's name for it is "long non-coding RNA (CSIN_LNC002761)". The record is from RNAcentral. Lineage: Eukaryota; Viridiplantae; Streptophyta; Magnoliopsida; Sapindales; Rutaceae.